GAUGAAGAACGCAGCGAAAUGCGAUAAGUAAUGUGAAUUGCAGAAUUCAGUGAAUCAUCGAAUCUUUGAACGCACAUUGCGCCCGCUGGUAUUCCGGCGGGCAUGCCUGUUCGAGCGUCAUUUCAACCCUCAAGCUCUCCGGAGUUUGGUGUUGGGGCGCCUGGGGCUUUUCGACCUCAGGGCCCUCAAGUCCAUCGGCGGGACCGCCAGGACACUGAGCGCAGUAGUAUUAUUUCGCUCGGUAGGAUCUUCCACGGCGGGUCGAUCUGGCCGCUAAACCCCCCAAUUCUCACCAAAGGUUGACCUCGGAUCAGGUAGGAAUACCCGCUGAACUUAAGCAUAUCAUAAGCGGAGGA
RNAcentral lists this unclassified non-coding RNA (356 nucleotides) under soil metagenome. Its description in RNAcentral is "partial contains 5.8S ribosomal RNA, internal transcribed spacer 2, and large subunit ribosomal RNA". The stretch from base 1 to 120 matches the Rfam family "5.8S ribosomal RNA", at positions 35 to 154 of the family's 154-position model. The record is from RNAcentral.